AUCCUUUUGUAGUUCGUAAGCGUCAUGAUUGGGUGUUCAUGCUAUUGUGUGACAUGUGCUUCCCUUAAACCUUUCUACAACCAUGGCACAUUACCCAUCUGGCG
Small nucleolar RNA from Neogale vison (American mink), 104 nucleotides. RefSeq annotates it as small nucleolar RNA U13. The record is from RefSeq and is a predicted model, not a curated record. The transcript has a single exon. Lineage: Eukaryota; Metazoa; Chordata; Mammalia; Carnivora; Mustelidae.